Molecule: ribosomal RNA, 253 nt
Filed under: uncultured bacterium
Lineage: Bacteria
Description: partial 16S ribosomal RNA
Rfam family: Bacterial small subunit ribosomal RNA
Source: RNAcentral
UACGUAGGAUGCAAGCGUUGUCCGGAAUUAUUGGGCGUAAAGAGUUCGUAGGCGGUUGCCUAAGUCUGGUGUUAAAUACAGGAGCUCAACUCCUGCAUGGCACUGGAAACUGGGCGGCUAGAGUGCGGUAGAGGGUAGUGGAAUUCCCGGUGUAGCGGUGAAAUGCGUAGAGAUCGGGAGGAACACCAGUGGCGAAGGCGGCUACCUGGACCAGCACUGACACUGAGGCACGAAAGCGUGGGGAGCAAACAGG